CUGAACUAGUCCAUCCUGGGGAUCAAGGUCAGCACAGUGUUACAACAGAUCAUGACUACUGCUCAUUUCCUGAGCCGUCAGCAGAAGACCUGUCCAAAGACCUGGAGAGUCUGAAGAAGGAAAUACAGGAGUUACGUGUCCAGCGAGAGUUUGGGUUACAGCGGUUUGCUGGUUCCGACACUGACAUCCAAUUCUAUACCAGAUUUCCAAGCUAUAAUCAUUUGAUGGCAUUCUGGGUUUUGAUUGAGCCUUGCAUCUAUGAAAUGAUCCGGGCUUCAAGAGCCAAGUCAGCUGCCAACACGGACGAAGAAGUGUUGACACCUGCACGCACACAAACGAGGCAGCUGCUCCAGCCAGUCGACGAGUUCUUUCUUUUCCUGGUUUUCCUGUCUGUUGGUCUGAAGGAGAGGGACCUGGCUCAUCAAUUCA
Long non-coding RNA from Oreochromis aureus, 429 nucleotides. The record is from Ensembl. NCBI's taxonomy places the organism in Eukaryota, Metazoa, Chordata, Actinopteri, Cichliformes, Cichlidae.